UACGGAGGGUGCAAGCGUUAAUCGGAAUUACUGGGCGUAAAGCGCACGCAGGUGGCUGAGUCAGUCGAUUGUGAAAGCCCUGGGCUUAACCUGGGAAUUGCAGUCGAUACUACUCAGCUAGAGUAUGGGAGAGGGCAGUGGAAUUCCCGGUGUAGCGGUGGAAUGCGCAGAUAUCAGGAGGAACACCAAUAGCGAAGGCAGCUCGCUGGGACGUUACUGACACUGAGGCGCGAAAGCGUGGGGAGCGAACAGG
This 253-nucleotide ribosomal RNA is filed under the name uncultured bacterium. RNAcentral describes it as "partial 16S ribosomal RNA". It matches the Rfam family "Bacterial small subunit ribosomal RNA", at positions 524 to 776 of the family's 1533-position model. The record is from RNAcentral.